This 795-nucleotide small RNA is filed under the name Caenorhabditis elegans. RNAcentral's name for it is "Unclassified non-coding RNA F26D2.19". The record is from RNAcentral. Lineage: Eukaryota; Metazoa; Nematoda; Chromadorea; Rhabditida; Rhabditidae.
GGCUUAUCUCCAAUCUCUCACUGGCAUCAAUCGGAUCCCCUUAAUCGAAAACCCGUUUCUAAACCUGACCUGCUCCGCUAUCAAAAACCGAAUCAUACCGAAAUCUUCUCAAUUCAAGCUUCUAAUGCUUAAUGGCACUGCAUUUGCAAGAAUUGUGUUCGCCGACUAUGAGUUUAUUGAGAAACAAGUACAAGCUUCCUAUCACCCGCAAAACUUCUUCUGCUUUGCAGUCGAUGCGAAUUCUUCCGCAGAGUUUCAGAAAAGAAUGAAGGCACUUGAAAGGUGUCUGCCUAAUGUAUUUGUACUGCCAGGUAGGUUUACCUCUAAUUGUAGUGCACCAUGCCUUCCAGAUUCUAGUCACUGAAUCCUACGAUAGCAAGGGCCAUAACAUCAAUUUGGCACAUUACAACUGCAUGAAGAGACUUGAGGCUUCACGUGGAUGGGGAUACCUGAUGCUUCUGCAAAAUCAUGAUGUUAUCACUAAAUCAGUAUAUGAGUUGGAUCGAAUAUUCGAUUUGCUCGCCGGAGCCAACGAUGUGUUCAUGUCCAAAGAGAUUCCAGGAAGGAGGAAUAAACAUUCAAAGUGGGAUUUGAAAUCUUUGAGACUUUUUCGAAAUGGUUAGGAAAAGUGAGAAACUAUGAAGAAAUUCGGGGAAUUUUUUAGAAUCAAGAAAUUCGGAUUACGAACUUGAAAUUUCAAGUGGUUUUGUGCAGGCGUCGCUGUCGAGAGCUGUAGUGGAAUGGUUGGUGAAUGAAGUUGAUGUAUCGAUUCUUUUGCAGCAGUUGAAUAUGACG